UACGGAGGGUGCAAGCGUUGUCCGGAAUCACUGGGCGUAAAGGGCGCGUAGGCGGCUAUGUAAGUCACUUGUGAAAUCCCGGGGCUCAACUCCGGGGCCGCAGGUGAGACUGUGUGGCUAGAGCAUGGUAGAGGCGAGUGGAAUUCCCGGUGUAGCGGUGGAAUGCGUAGAUAUCGGGAAGAACACCAGUGGCGAAGGCGGCUCACUGGCCCGGUACUGACGCUGAGGUGCGAAAGCGUGGGGAGCAAACAGG
This 253-nucleotide ribosomal RNA is filed under the name uncultured bacterium. RNAcentral describes it as "partial 16S ribosomal RNA". It matches the Rfam family "Bacterial small subunit ribosomal RNA", at positions 524 to 776 of the family's 1533-position model. The record is from RNAcentral.